Molecule: ribosomal RNA, 253 nt
Filed under: uncultured bacterium
Lineage: Bacteria
Description: partial 16S ribosomal RNA
Rfam family: Bacterial small subunit ribosomal RNA
Source: RNAcentral
CACGUAGGGUGCAAGCGUUGUCCGGAAUUAUUGGGCGUAAAGGGCUCGUAGGCGGUCCGUCGCGUCGGGAGUGAAAACUCGGGGCUCAACCCCGAGCCUGCUUUCGAUACGGGCGGACUAGAGGUAGGUAGGGGAGAACGGAAUUCCUGGUGUAGCGGUGGAAUGCGCAGAUAUCAGGAGGAACACCAAUGGCGAAGGCAGCUCGCUGGAACGGUACUGACGCUGAGGCGCGAAAGCGUGGGGAGCGAACAGG